Molecule: non-coding RNA, 348 nt
Organism: Ruminococcus callidus ATCC 27760
Lineage: Bacteria; Bacillati; Bacillota; Clostridia; Eubacteriales; Oscillospiraceae
Source: Rfam
UGAGCAGACUGUGUGAUAGCACAGCGGUUUCGCUGUGAGGAAAGUCCGAGCACCAUAGGACAGGAUAGCUGCUAACGGCAGCCGGGGGCGACCCUAGAGCCAGUGCAACAGAGAGAUACCGCCGCGGGUUUCCUGCGGUAAGGGUGGAAAGGUGUGGUAAGAGCACACCAGAGUGCAGGAGACUGUACUGCUAUGUAAACCUUAUCCGGUGCAACGUCUAUUGGUACACGCUGUCUUAACAUCGGUCCGGUGGACAGCGGCGUAAUGGCGGCUAGAGCUGUGAGGCGACUCACAGACCAGAUAAAUUAUCACACACGACAGAACUCGGCUUACAGGUCUGGUCAUGGA